UCAGGUUAAUCCAGGCAUUAGGAUAGGCUUGUCUCAAAGAUUAAGGCAUACAUGUGUAAAUACACACGAUCAGUAUUUUAAGACUAUGAAUGGCUCAUUAAAUCAGUAAUGGUUCCUUUGAUUGCUCCAUCUGUUUUUUAUGUACAUGCGGUCUAGAAUAAAUACACAACAGUGAGUGCUGAUCUCCCAAGCAUUUAUCAGACUACAAUCAAGCUAUGGUCACCAGAGCCCUCCUAUGACUCUAGCUAUCCUCAACCGAUUGUACCUCCCUCGGACAGCAAUCACACAUUUGCAUGUCUGCCCUCACAGCUUUCACUACCAUUUCCUAGGUCUACCAUGAUCACCAUGGGCAACAGUGCCACCAGGGCUCAUUUUCCUACAGGUAGACAGAGAAGCAGCUACCACUUCAAAGGAAGCCAGAAGGAGCACAGGUCUUUGACUCAGGGUGGUACUGACAAAAUAUAAUAAGACAGGGCUCUAUUGAGACUAUGUCGUUGGAAUGAGUAUGUCCUAAAAUAUUUAACAAUGAUCCAUUGGACAGCAGCAAUUCUGAUACCAGCAGUUGAAGUAUAUCUUUCUCCAAUAAUGUACAUCUGCUGCAGUUAGGAAGCACAUAGUUGAUCUUGGGAUUGAGCUGGUGGUAUACCGCUAGGCGAACUAUUGCCUGCUCCAGCCCUCUCUUGUUGCUUUGGACUGAAUGUCAUGGAGUUUUCACCCAUUUACUUUGAGACUAUUAGUGAUGAAAGCAGUGCAGCUGGAUAAAUACUGCAGAUAUGACUAAUGGAGUUGAUCUCUAGUUCGAUUUUGUUGGAUUUCAGAAAUGGAGCCAUGGUUAAGAGGAACGACCAUGUGCAUUCAUAUUGUGCCACUGGAGGUGAAAUUCUUGGACCAGCACAAGGUAAACCUAAGCAAAACGGUAGAGGUUUGAAGAUGAUCGAAUACUGUCUUUCAAUCACUUAUAAUGAUGAAUAAUGAUCUGGGCACUUUAUUCCCAUGACCUGCUGCACAACGUCUGGGAAACCAAGGUCUCUGUUUUCCAGGAGGAGUGUGGUUACAAAGUUGAAACCUAAUGGAAUUGAUGGAAGGGCACCACCAGCUUUGGAGUAUGUAUCCUAAAAAGACACAUUGACUCACAUUGGGAAUGGUCACACAGAUUGGACAUGGAAAGGACUAACAGAUUGAUAGCAUUUGCUUGAUUCAGAAGGUGGUGGUGCAUGGCGAUCCUUAGUUGGUGCGCUGAUUUGUCUGGUUCAUUCUGAUAAAGAAUCAGACUCCUCUCUCCAAACUAACUAUACGACACCCAUGUGCCAGUGUGCACUCUCUAUCUUCUGAUCCAGCUAAGUUUUCAUCGCCAGUGGCACC
RNAcentral lists this ribosomal RNA (1362 nucleotides) under Ambystoma mexicanum (axolotl). RNAcentral's name for it is "SSU rRNA". It matches the Rfam family "Eukaryotic small subunit ribosomal RNA", at positions 1 to 1400 of the family's 1831-position model. Lineage: Eukaryota; Metazoa; Chordata; Amphibia; Caudata; Ambystomatidae. The record is from RNAcentral.